GGCCCUUUAGCUAGUUGCUGAGGUAACGACUCCCCAAGGCGGCCAUACAUAGCCCACCUGAGAGGUGGAUCGCCCACACUGGGCCUGGAACCCGGCCCCAGACUCCUACGGGAAGGCAGCAGUAGGGAAUCUCCCGCAAUGGACGAAAGUCUGACGGAGCAACGCCGGCGUGAGUGAUGAAGGUUUUCGGAUCGUAAAGCUCUGUUGUUAGGGAAGAACAAGUGCCGUUCAAAUAGGGCGGCACCUUGACGGUACCUAACCAGAAAGCCACGGCUAACUACGUGCCAGCAGCCGCGGUAAUACGUAGGUGGCAAGCGUUGUCCGGAAUUAUUGGGCGUAAAGGGCUCGCAGGCGGUUUCUUAAGUCUGAUGUGAAAGCCCCCGGCUCAACCGGGGAGGGUCAUUGGAAACUGGGGAACUUGAGUGCAGAAGAGGAGAGUGGAAUUCCACGUGUAGCGGUGAAAUGCGUAGAGAUGUGGAGGAACACCAGUGGCGAAGGCGACUCUCUGGUCUGUAACUGACGCUGAGGAGCGAAAGCGUGGGGAGCGAACAGGAUUAGAUACCCUGGUAGUCCACGCCGUAAACGAUGAGUGCUAAGUGUUAGGGGGUUUCCGCCCCUUAGUGCUGCAGCUAACGCAUUAAGCACUCCGCCUGGGGAGUACGGUCGCAAGACUGAAACUCAAAGGAAUUGACGGGGGCCCGCACAAGCGGUGGAGCAUGUGGUUUAAUUCGAAGCAACGCGAAGAACCUUACCAGGUCUUGACAUCCUCUGACAAUCCUAGAGAUAGGACGUCCCCUUCGGGGGCAGAGUGACAGGUGGUGCAUGGUUGUCGUCAGCUCGUGUCGUGAGAUGUUGGGUUAAGUCCCGCAACGAGCGCAACCCUUGAUCUUAGUUGCCAGCAUUCAGUUGGGCACUCUAAGGUGACUGCCGGUGACAAACCGGAGGAAGGUGGGGAUGACGUCAAAUCAUCAUGCCCCUUAUGACCUGGGCUACACACGUGCUACAAUGGACAGAACAAAGGGCAGCGAAACCGCGAGGUUAAGCCAAUCCCACAAAUCUGUUCUCAGUUCGGAUCGCAGUCUGCAACUCGACUGCGUGAAGCUGGAAUCGCUAGUAAUCGCGGAUCAGCAUGCCGCGGUGAAUACGUUCCCGGGCCUUGUACACACCGCCCGUCACACCACGAGAGUUUGUAACACCCGAAGUCGGUGAGGUAACCUUUUAGGAGCCAGCCGCCGAAGUGACAG
RNAcentral lists this ribosomal RNA (1244 nucleotides) under Bacillus sp. (in: firmicutes). RNAcentral describes it as "bacterial SSU rRNA". It matches the Rfam family "Bacterial small subunit ribosomal RNA", at positions 232 to 1470 of the family's 1533-position model. The record is from RNAcentral. Lineage: Bacteria; Bacillati; Bacillota; Bacilli; Caryophanales; Bacillaceae.